Salvia miltiorrhiza (redroot sage) is the source of this 549-nucleotide long non-coding RNA. RefSeq lists it as uncharacterized. NCBI's taxonomy places the organism in Eukaryota, Viridiplantae, Streptophyta, Magnoliopsida, Lamiales, Lamiaceae. The record is from RefSeq and is a predicted model, not a curated record. The transcript is spliced from 5 exons.
GGGUAUUUUUUCUACAGAGUAUCUUGUGAUUAAGUAGAUUAUCAUGUAGAUUUAUUGACGCGUGCUUGAUAAUUUCUGAUCAUGAUAUUUGCUGGAUACAAUAAAGCUAUCAGAAUUUUUGAGGUUCAUCGCCCAGGGAGAGAUUUUGAACAACACUCGACUGUUUUAGGAAACAAAGAAGGCCAAUCAGACUAUAUCGAUCAUCUGAAAGCACCAAUCAGAGAAUACAAUUUGCUAUUGAACCUCUUGGUCGAUAUCUUGGAACUGGUGGUCAGGGGCAGCUGCUGUUAACUUGGUUGCUGGAGAAAAGCCCGCAGAUGUUUAUUCAGGAAUUGCUACGAGGGAUGUUACUUUCAAAAAGGGAGGAAGAUCAAGAUGAAGAUGAGCGCGAAGGAAGCCUUUGAGAGGUCGAUGAGGACUUUGUCGGAGUGGAUAAGCCAGGAAGUGAAUCGAAAUAUGUAAUGAUCUUAGAUACUUGAUACUUGGUUCAUUCGGAUGAUAAUGUACGAAUAUUUUGGAUAAUAUAUAAUAUUGUUAUUGUUGAUUUUA